CCAUGCCGUAGGGUAGGGUGAGCCUAGGUCUGUCUAGUGGCUCACACAUGUAUCGAUAUAUGAGUUUGGGGAAGUUGAUUGGGGUGUCAUGAAGCAUAUAGAACAUGAGAGCUAGGUCUCUCUCAGAUACAAAGUCAAAUCUCCCGGUCUUAGGGAAGAUGGACCUAGACAAUAUACUCAAGAGGAUCCGCAUCUCAAU
This 199-nucleotide long non-coding RNA is filed under the name Phoenix dactylifera (date palm). RNAcentral describes it as "long non-coding RNA (PDAC_LNC021703)". The record is from RNAcentral. Lineage: Eukaryota; Viridiplantae; Streptophyta; Magnoliopsida; Arecales; Arecaceae.